GGUAAAAGUCGUAACAAGGUUUCCGUAGGUGAACCUGCGGAAGGAUCAUUAAAGAGUAAGGGUCUUCGGGCCCGAUCUCCAACCCUUUGUUUAACUACCAUGUUGCUUUGGCGGGCCCGUCUCACGACCGCCGGAAGUUUGGCUUCGACCAAACUUCUGGCCCGUGCCCGUCAGUGGCCCCUUCAAAUUCUUGAUCAAGUAUGAUGUCUUAGUUAAAAACUUAAUAGUUAAAACUUUCAACAACGGAUCUCUUGGUUCUG
This 260-nucleotide unclassified non-coding RNA is filed under the name plant metagenome. RNAcentral's name for it is "partial contains small subunit ribosomal RNA, internal transcribed spacer 1, and 5.8S ribosomal RNA". The stretch from base 1 to 51 matches the Rfam family "Eukaryotic small subunit ribosomal RNA", at positions 1781 to 1831 of the family's 1831-position model. The record is from RNAcentral.